CCUAGGGGAGGCAGCAGUGGGGAAUAUUGCACAAUGGGCGCAAGCCUGAUGCAGCCAUGCCGCGUGUAUGAAGAAGGCCUUCGGGUUGUAAAGUACUUUCAGCGGGGAGGAAGGCGUUGAGGUUAAUAACCUCAGCGAUUGACGUUACCCGCAGAAGAAGCACCGGCUAACUCCGUGCCAGCAGCCGCGGUAA
This 193-nucleotide ribosomal RNA is filed under the name uncultured Enterobacter sp. RNAcentral describes it as "partial 16S ribosomal RNA". It matches the Rfam family "Bacterial small subunit ribosomal RNA", at positions 338 to 523 of the family's 1533-position model. Lineage: Bacteria; Pseudomonadati; Pseudomonadota; Gammaproteobacteria; Enterobacterales; Enterobacteriaceae. The record is from RNAcentral.